This 2002-nucleotide unclassified non-coding RNA is filed under the name Eurytemora carolleeae. RNAcentral describes it as "zinc finger protein 780B". The record is from RNAcentral. Lineage: Eukaryota; Metazoa; Arthropoda; Copepoda; Calanoida; Temoridae.
AUUUCAGAAAAAUGAAAGAAAAUGGGAAAAGUAGAGAAGAUACAUUAAACGAUAUAGUGUCGUAUAUCGGAUUCCUACAUGCAGAAGAUCUGUUCUGUGAUGCCGCGUUCAAUUGCAGGGAUGGAAGAGUUUUGGCGCAUAAAUUCAUAUUAGGAGCUCGUAGCAGGCUUCUUCUCGAUAUAUUGGAAGAGGAUGAAUUAGAGAUUUAUAUUCCGGAUUUCAGUAUUCACCUUGUUCAUCUACUUCUAGAGCUUAUAUACGCAGGGACUGUUUGUGUUAACCAGGACGACGCUGAAAAAAUAAACGAGCUAUUAACAUUAUUAGGGAUAGAAUGUGGGUAUUCUACUAUAAGUCUACCAAGCAAAAAGCAGAAACUGAAAAUUAAACAUGAAAACAAUCUUAGCUCAAGGAAACCAGUUAUAGAAAGUAAACAAUGCCGGAAAAAAAGAAUGUUUACCUCUAAUCUAGAUAUUAACCAAUUAACUUGUGAAACCUGUUUCAAAGUUUUCCCGAAGUUAUACAAGCUGAAAAAUCAUCAAUUAAUUCAUCUGAACAGUUUCCCAUUUAUCUGUUCAAACUGUGGCAAGGGGUUUAAGAAUAAAUAUAAACUGAACGCUCAUGAGAAGGAUCACAAACUUGGGCUCAUUUUACCAGAAAAAAUUAAGGAGAAAAAGGUGAAAGAGGUAAAGGAGGUGAAAGAUAAAUAUUUUGUGUGUAAACAUUGUGGAGAAGAGUUCAAUAGUUUGCUCAACAGAAACAAUCAUAUCAGUCAGACCCACAAGAUGAACCAUUCCUGUUUCCAUUGUGCAACCAAAUUCAGAACCAAAAAAAAUUUGAUAGCACACCUUCGAGUUGUACAUAAUGAUUUAGAGAGUGUUCUAAGGCAUGUUUGUCCAAUCUGUGAUAAACGAUUCAAAAAGCCAUCGCAUUUGGAGGAUCACCAGGCUCGACAUAAUACUGUGGGUCAGCACGCCUGUAUGUACUGCCCAAAGAGGUGUGCGACACAGCAGGACUUAAACCGCCAUCUUGCCUCGCAUAGAGGUGAAGCAAAGUUCACCUGUCAGCUUUGCUUUAAAGCAUUUGUACACAGAAGUAUGUACUAUGAGCAUGUACGAAAACAUCUUGGGCAGCGACCAUAUUUAUGCAGACCCUGUAAUAAAUCUUAUGCACAGCUGAAAUGUUUGCGCCAACAUCAGAAGGUUCAUGAGAGAAAGGGUGAUUUGACAUUACUUGUUACCCCGAGCAAGGGUUCCCGGGGUUGUCACAGUUUUAUUGACGUUAUCAGCGAUCCUUAUCCGGUCAACACAGAACAGAAACAGAAGGAUUUGAAUACACAAGAGGUUUAUAUUCCUGGACCUCAGUUUACCAAGUCUACAGGAUACAAGAGUAAUCUAUCCACGGGUACACUCAAGGAGAUGCAGGUGAUCACAGAUUACACUGAGAUAUCAAGAAUAGGAUUCCAUUUGCCAGAAAACGAUGAUAAUGGAUUCCAGUCAGUGGUGGAACUAGAACAGAUGUUCCCAACUCAAGUUCAACAUAAUUCAGUACAAUCUGUACUACCUGAAUAGACAAUACUGUACUACAGUACAUUCUGUACUUCCUAAAUAAAUAAUACCGAACUGCAGUACAUUCUGUACUCCCUGAAUAGAGACUGCAUUUAUACAAAAAACAAGUUCAUUAUUUAUUUUUACUUCUGCACUGCUCCAACCCAUUUUACAUAGCUAUUUAAAGGAAACUGACCUAAUUGGUAUCCGAACUAAUUAAUGAGUAGUUUUGACAGAAAAUAUUGAAAUUUUAAACUCCGGGCCCUGCCCUGUGCGUUUUUACGGAUAUAAUUCAACUUCUCAUUAUCCCUAAAUCUAACCCCCUUCCAACUCCGCCUAUCUUGCUUAAACUAACCUAACCAAUUUUAAGAUUUAAUAAAAUGUUAGGUCUGUAAAUCCUUAGGUUAGUUUCCUUGAGGGUACCGUACUCACAUUCAGUCGUCUUUGUAUAUUCCAGA